ACCCUACUGAAGAGUCCCAAACUAGGACGAAACAGCUGUCCAGUAC
RNAcentral lists this non-coding RNA (46 nucleotides) under Trichobilharzia regenti. Lineage: Eukaryota; Metazoa; Platyhelminthes; Trematoda; Strigeidida; Schistosomatidae. The record is from RNAcentral.